UACGGAGGAUGCAAGCGUUGUUCGGAAUCACUGGGCUUAAAGAGCAUGUAGGUGGGGUGUCAGGCGUCGGGUGAAAUCCCUGGGCUCAACCCAGGAACUGCGUCCGAUACUGGAAGGCUUGAAUCCGGGAGAGGGAUGUGGAAUUCCAGGUGUAGCGGUGAAAUGCGUAGAUAUCUGGAGGAACACCGGUGGCGAAGGCGGCCUGCUGGGCAGUAGCUGACGCUGAGGCGCGACAGCGUGGGGAGCAAACAGG
RNAcentral lists this ribosomal RNA (253 nucleotides) under uncultured bacterium. RNAcentral's name for it is "partial 16S ribosomal RNA". It matches the Rfam family "Bacterial small subunit ribosomal RNA", at positions 524 to 776 of the family's 1533-position model. The record is from RNAcentral.